AUGAAUGCAGCCAGGAAUAUCCCAUUAAGAUGUAUGAGUCAUUUAUGCCUCAGUGUGGAUGAGAUACUCAGAGCCUUUCUUGGGGUAGCAUGUGAGAAGAUUCCAGCAGCCGGCCACCUACGAUGGAGACCUCUUAGGGAGAAGAGGGCCCAGGCAGGACAGCGGAGUCCAUUUGAAGAUGCUCUCCUUCUCCCAUGGGAAACCUCUGAGAUGCUCCAGAGAAAACAGGACACAAGGGUACCUGAGCUGGAAGCCGAGGACGGAGGUUGUCGUGGUCUUCCAAAGAAGGUUCUGAAAGAAGAAGAUGGGACUGCAUGGGAAUCCAGGGAUUUAUGCGACUCGAUCCUGCGUUUGUAAAAACAGUGUUAUUAUUCCUAGCCAUCUGACAGGGUCAUCGUGCAAGUCCCAGAAGUACUGUCUGUGGAAGUGAUUUGAAAAUGGCAAAGGGCUAAGAGGUGUCUCUUUUGGAGAAGCAGCCUGUGGCUGGGAGGUCACUGGGAUUGGACUUUAACAGUUGGGGAAGCCAUGUGCGUGCCUCCUCAGAGCCUCGGUUUUAUCACCUGGGAAGUGGAAACGAUAAUACCCACCU
RNAcentral lists this long non-coding RNA (589 nucleotides) under Sus scrofa (pig). Its description in RNAcentral is "lncRNA (ENSSSCG00055029645.1)". The record is from RNAcentral. Lineage: Eukaryota; Metazoa; Chordata; Mammalia; Artiodactyla; Suidae.